RNAcentral lists this long non-coding RNA (611 nucleotides) under Eucalyptus grandis. RNAcentral's name for it is "long non-coding RNA (EGRA_LNC001460)". Lineage: Eukaryota; Viridiplantae; Streptophyta; Magnoliopsida; Myrtales; Myrtaceae. The record is from RNAcentral.
GAGAAAAUAUUCAGUGGUUGCUAAUCACCACGUCAUCUGCACGCGUGGCACGCGUGAUCCAUUAAAAUUGUGACACGUGUCGAGUUGACGUGGAAAUUAGAAGAAGGGAAAAUAAGAACUUUGCAGGCUUGUCAGGGGCGAUACUCUCUCCUCAUUAAUUACGCGACGCUCUCUCUCCUCUCUGCGUCUUUCUCCCUCGCUCUCUUUCUCUCUCCUCCUUUAUUUCAAAUUUCGCUCCAGACCCCUCCCUCCUCAUUCUCUCCUCUCCUCUCUGUCUCGCAAAAUCCGACGACCACCGCCAGACGCUCUCUUUCAGCUGUUGGGAAACGACGGAGGCUUGGUGGCGUUGGGGUCGGAGGGUUUUAUGGCACGAGCUUCCCUCUGAAGGGUCCGUCGGAGAGAAACAGACACGAAAUGUUGGUGCCUGUGCAGUAAUGGCACUAGCCAGACGACCCAAAAGAGAGGACGAAGUCGAACUCUCUGUUGACGUCGUCGCCAUUCUCCGUACUGGCACUAUCGUCUCUUUUGUUGCCCACUCGCCUUGCUUCCGUCUCUCCUAUUCCUCCUCCUCCUAUUCAGACGCUACCUCCGUCGAUUGAGAUGAUCAGNNN